This 761-nucleotide ribosomal RNA is filed under the name Pseudomonas sp. enrichment culture clone 14.3. RNAcentral describes it as "bacterial SSU rRNA". It matches the Rfam family "Bacterial small subunit ribosomal RNA", at positions 9 to 763 of the family's 1533-position model. The record is from RNAcentral. Lineage: Bacteria; Pseudomonadati; Pseudomonadota; Gammaproteobacteria; Pseudomonadales; Pseudomonadaceae.
GAGUUUGAUCAUGGCUCAGAUUGAACGCUGGCGGCAGGCCUAACACAUGCAAGUCGAGCGGCAGCACGGGUACUUGUACCUGGUGGCGAGCGGCGGACGGGUGAGUAAUGCCUAGGAAUCUGCCUGGUAGUGGGGGAUAACGCUCGGAAACGGACGCUAAUACCGCAUACGUCCUACGGGAGAAAGCAGGGGACCUUCGGGCCUUGCGCUAUCAGAUGAGCCUAGGUCGGAUUAGCUAGUUGGUGAGGUAAUGGCUCACCAAGGCGACGAUCCGUAACUGGUCUGAGAGGAUGAUCAGUCACACUGGAACUGAGACACGGUCCAGACUCCUACGGGAGGCAGCAGUGGGGAAUAUUGGACAAUGGGCGAAAGCCUGAUCCAGCCAUGCCGCGUGUGUGAAGAAGGUCUUCGGAUUGUAAAGCACUUUAAGUUGGGAGGAAGGGCAGUAAAUUAAUACUUUGCUGUUUUGACGUUACCGACAGAAUAAGCACCGGCUAACUCUGUGCCAGCAGCCGCGGUAAUACAGAGGGUGCAAGCGUUAAUCGGAAUUACUGGGCGUAAAGCGCGCGUAGGUGGUUUGUUAAGUUGGAUGUGAAAUCCCCGGGCUCAACCUGGGAACUGCAUUCAAAACUGACAAGCUAGAGUAUGGUAGAGGGUGGUGGAAUUUCCUGUGUAGCGGUGAAAUGUGUAGAUAUAGGAAGGAACACCAGUGGCGAAGGCGACCACCUGGACUGAUACUGACACUGAGGUGCGAAAGCGUG